RNAcentral lists this ribosomal RNA (513 nucleotides) under uncultured bacterium. RNAcentral describes it as "partial 16S ribosomal RNA". It matches the Rfam family "Bacterial small subunit ribosomal RNA", at positions 28 to 523 of the family's 1533-position model. The record is from RNAcentral.
GAUGAACGCUGGCGGCGUGCCUAAUACAUGCAAGUCGAGCGAACAGAUAAGGAGCUUGCUCCUUUGACGUUAGCGGCGGACGGGUGAGUAACACGUGGGUAACCUACCUAUAAGACUGGGAUAACUUCGGGAAACCGGAGCUAAUACCGGAUAACAUUUGGAACCGCAUGGUUCUAAAGUGAAAGAUGGUUUUGCUAGCACUUAUAGAUGGACCCGCGCCGUAUUAGCUAGUUGGUAAGGUAACGGCUUACCAAGGCGACGAUACGUAGCCGACCUGGGAGGGUGAUCGGCCACACUGGAACCGAGACACGGUCCAGACUCCUACGGGAGGCAGCAGUAGGGAAUCUUCCGCAAUGGGCGAAAGCCUGACGGAGCAACGCCGCGUGAGUGAUGAAGGGUUUCGGCUCGUAAAACUCUGUUAUUAGGGAAGAACAAAUGUGUAAGUAACUGUGCACGUCUUGACGGUACCUAAUCAGAAAGCCACGGCUAACUACGUGCCAGCAGCAGCCGCGG